AUAGAGUCUGACCGAAAUCGGAUUUCCUUUGCGUGCCAUAUGCCCUUGCAGUGCUGUCUUUUUCCCAUCUCUCUUCCCGGUCCAAUGUGUAAAGUAAACUCUCCAUGUUGACCAAAAGACAAACUUCUCUCUCUCUCUUUAUCUACGUUCUGCAAUUAGAUAGAACCUGUCGGUCUGAAACUGAACUCUUAGUUUCAAUA
Molecule: long non-coding RNA, 200 nt
Filed under: Populus tremula
Lineage: Eukaryota; Viridiplantae; Streptophyta; Magnoliopsida; Malpighiales; Salicaceae
Description: long non-coding RNA (PTRE_LNC000295)
Source: RNAcentral